AGUGACGAUAGCCUAGGAGAUACACCUGUACCCAUGCCGAACACAGCAGUUAAGCCCUAGAACGCCUGAUGUAGUUGGGGGUU
Molecule: ribosomal RNA, 83 nt
Filed under: Streptococcus pyogenes
Lineage: Bacteria; Bacillati; Bacillota; Bacilli; Lactobacillales; Streptococcaceae
Source: RNAcentral